AACUGGAUUGACAACGUCAAAGUAGCUGAUAAUCCUGUUCUAACAGAUUCUGACCUAAUGGUAAAAACAAAAAUUUAGUUAUUUAGUAGAAAUUAAUAAAAAGGCACAAUAAUUCAGUACCUACUUGACCUAUCUACUUACCUACAGGUACCUAUCUUACACAAAUGGUUAGUUUUAUUCUAAAACUUUAAGAUAGGAAAGUACCUAUCUUUUAUCAUUGAUAAUGGUAGAAUGGAUUUAUUGUGGUGGGAAUACCUAAUCAUAGCUAUCAGUGUUUUUAUCGGAGGCGUGUUCCUUAGCUUCUUCGUAAGGAUACUGAACGAAGCACGGUUAGACGAAAGAUUUAAUAGGCUCCAGCAAAAGACAUCGACAAAUCGAUCAACUCAAGUGCAAGAAUCAUCGCCAAUGGAACCAAUAUCACUAAGAGAUGACCAAUCAGCUAAUUCGGCGAAAGCUUCCACCAUUUAUAAUAAAGAAGAUUUAAAAACUAAAAAUUCGAAGUCGAAUCUAUCAAGCCUUGAUUCAUCAAAAGAAAAUUCCAAGUUAAAAUUUCUGGGCACAAUCUAUAAUAAUGAAAAUAAUGUAUCAAAAAAUAAGGAUAAUUGUAUGACGAACGGAUAUAACAGUAAUUUAAACAGAAAGCAAAGCAGUAAAGAAUUGGUUCGCGCUUGUAAUGAUAAAGAGCUAAAAAUAUGGAUUUCAGAUUUGUUAUUAAGUCAUGUUAAUAAUAAUGCGAUAAAAAAUA
Molecule: long non-coding RNA, 745 nt
Organism: Maniola jurtina (meadow brown)
Lineage: Eukaryota; Metazoa; Arthropoda; Insecta; Lepidoptera; Nymphalidae
Exons: 3
Source: RefSeq, a predicted model, not a curated record